RNAcentral lists this ribosomal RNA (253 nucleotides) under uncultured bacterium. RNAcentral's name for it is "partial 16S ribosomal RNA". It matches the Rfam family "Bacterial small subunit ribosomal RNA", at positions 524 to 776 of the family's 1533-position model. The record is from RNAcentral.
UACGUAGGGUGCGAGCGUUAAUCGGAAUUACUGGGCGUAAAGCGUGCGCAGGCGGUGAUGUAAGACAGAUGUGAAAUCCCCGGGCUUAACCUGGGAAUGGCAUUCGGGACUGCAAGGCUGGAGUGCGGCAGAGGAGACUGGAAUUCCUGGUGUAGCAGUGAAAUGCGUAGAUAUCAGGAGGAACACCGGUGGCGAAGGCGGGUCACUGGGCCGUAACUGACGCUGAGGAGCGAAAGCGUGGGGAGCGAACAGG